Molecule: ribosomal RNA, 776 nt
Filed under: uncultured Neocallimastigales
Lineage: Eukaryota; Fungi; Neocallimastigomycota; Neocallimastigomycetes; Neocallimastigales
Description: partial large subunit ribosomal RNA
Rfam family: Eukaryotic large subunit ribosomal RNA
Source: RNAcentral
UCAGACGAUGCGUCACGCAUAUCAAUAAGCGGAGGAAAAGAAACUAACAAGGAUUCCCCUAGUAACGGCGAGUGAAGCGGGAAGAGCUCAAAUUUGAAAUCUUAAAGGGUUUCCCUUUACGAAUUGUAGUUUAAAGAAGUGUUUUCUGUUGAGGUUUUGGUAAAAGUUCUUUGGAAUAGGACAUCAUAGAGGGUGAGAAUCCCGUAUUUGACCUUUACUUUCAACUUUGUGAUACACUUUCAAAGAGUCGGAUUGUUUGGGAAUGCAGUCCAAAAUGGGUGGUAAAUUUCAUCUAAAGCUAAAUAUUGGCGAGAGACCGAUAGCGAACAAGUACCGUGAGGGAAAGAUGAAAAGAACUUUGAAAAGAGAGUUAAACAGUACGUGAAAUUGUCAAAAGGGAAGCGUUUGACACCAGUGUUGUUUUUCUGAAAAUCAAUUAAAGAACUGUUUAUGCUAAGCUGUUUAGACUUUAUCAGCUAAUCUGUUUAGUUUUGAGCUUUUCUUUAAUGCACUUUUCAGUUAACGAAGUCAACAUCAAUUUCUUUUGCUGUAAAAAAGCUUGAGGAAGGUGGCUUGAGAUUCGUCUUAAGUGUUUAUAGCCUCUUGCCUAUGCAGUCGGAGAGAUUGAGGUCUGCAGCGUAGAUCCUUCGGGGCUAAAUGCAUUUGUGCUAAGUUAUAGCAUUUUAUAGACAACUUGUUGACUAUGAUUUGUCUUGUAGCUUACUCGCUUAUGUUAUUUUACCUACGCUUAGGAUGUUGACACACGCGCGUGCUCG